This 853-nucleotide ribosomal RNA is filed under the name uncultured Clostridia bacterium. RNAcentral's name for it is "bacterial SSU rRNA". It matches the Rfam family "Bacterial small subunit ribosomal RNA", at positions 36 to 896 of the family's 1533-position model. Lineage: Bacteria; Bacillati; Bacillota; Clostridia. The record is from RNAcentral.
CUGGCGGCGUGCAUAACACAUGCAAGUCGAACGAUGAAGCUUUUUUGAUUUCUUCGGAAUGAUUAAAAGUGGAUUAGUGGCGGACGGGUGAGUAACGCGUGAGUAACCUGCCUUAGAGAAGGGGAUAGCCUUUGGAAACGAAGAAUAAUACCCUAUGAAACCAUAACCUCGCAUGAGGCCUUGGUCAAAGAUUUAUCGCUCUAAGAUGGACUUGCGUCUGAUUAGUUAGUUGGUGGGGUAACGGCCUACCAAGACAGCGAUCAGUAGCCGGCUUGAGAGAGUGUACGGCCACAUUGGGACUGAGACACGGCCCAGACUCCUACGGGAGGCAGCAGUGGGGAAUUUUGCACAAUGGGGGAAACCCUGAUGCAGCGACGCCGCGUGAUUUAGAAGGCCUUCGGGUUGUAAAAAUCUUUUCUAUGGGAAGAAAAUGACAGUACCAUAGGAAUAAGGACCGGCUAAUUACGUGCCAGCAGCCGCGGUAAUACGUAAGGUCCGAGCGUUGUCCGGAAUCAUUGGGCGUAAAGGGUACGUAGGCGGGUAAGCAAGUUAGAAGUGAAAUCCUAUAGCUCAACUAUAGUAAGCUUUUAAAACUGCUCAUCUUGAGGUAUGGAAGGGAAAGUGGAAUUCCUAGUGUAGCGGUGAAAUGCGCAGAUAUUAGGAGGAAUACCGGUGGCGAAGGCGACUUUCUGGCCAUAACCUGACGCUGAGGUACGAAAGCGUGGGUAGCAAACAGGAUUAGAUACCCUGGUAGUCCACGCCGUAAACGAUGAGUGUUAGGUGUCUGGAGUAAAUCUGGGUGCCGCAGCUAACGCAUUAAACACUCCGCCUGGGGAGUACGCGCGCAAGCGUG